GUGUUUGUAGUGUAGUGGUUUCUGCACGCCCGCCUGUGAAGCGGGAAGUGUCGGUUCAAAUCCGAUCGAGCACC
RNAcentral lists this transfer RNA (74 nucleotides) under Planctomycetales bacterium. Its description in RNAcentral is "tRNA-His". It matches the Rfam family "tRNA". Rfam says of the family: Transfer RNA (tRNA) molecules are approximately 80 nucleotides in length. Their secondary structure includes four short double-helical elements and three loops (D, anti-codon, and T loops). The record is from RNAcentral. Lineage: Bacteria; Pseudomonadati; Planctomycetota; Planctomycetia; Planctomycetales.